GAUGGAGGGGCAAAUUAGUAGAUAGGGUUGUGGUGUAGUACUUGAGUUAAGAGUGGUGUUUGAGGGAUGGAAAUAGGCAGUAGGUAAUUGUGAGUGACAGGAGGUGAGGUGAUAGAGUAUAAGGAGUAGAGAAGGUAAGAGUAUAGUUUGAGUUGUAAGAGACAUGUCACUUUAUGGGAUGUAGA
Long non-coding RNA from Protopterus annectens (West African lungfish), 185 nucleotides. RefSeq lists it as uncharacterized. The record is from RefSeq and is a predicted model, not a curated record. The transcript has 3 exons. Lineage: Eukaryota; Metazoa; Chordata; Ceratodontiformes; Protopteridae.